GGUUUUUGAAGAGUUUUAAAACCUUUGGGNUUCAAAUAUUUUCACUUUUUGAACGUAUUUUCUCGUACGGUAGGUUAACAUCGAUUUUGAACAUUAUAAAAUGAUCGGAGGAAUGUAGCUUCGAUCUCGUAUUGAAGUGUUAUAGCCUUUGGUAGAUGUAAUGAUCGAGAUCGAGGAUUGCAACGAAUACCCUUUUGGGCUAUCCGUNUGAUCUUUGAUACGUUGCCUCGGUAACGA
Molecule: ribosomal RNA, 237 nt
Filed under: uncultured Glomeromycotina
Lineage: Eukaryota; Fungi; Glomeromycota
Description: partial 25S large subunit ribosomal RNA
Source: RNAcentral